CCCUUAGAUGUUCUGGGCCGCACGCGUGCUACACCGAGUGGAUCAGCGGGUCAGGUUGCGCGAAAGUGUUUCCUAAUCUUGAAAUCCGCUCGUGAUGGGGAUUGACGGUUGCAAUUUUCCGUCAUGAACGAGGAAUACCUUGUAAGCGCGGGUCAUCAUCCCGCGCUGAAUACGUCCCUGCCCUUUGUACACACCGCCCGUCGCUCCUACCGAUUGAGUGGUCCGGUGAGGCUUUGGGAUCUGAGCGGAAAGAGCGUUUCGCUGUUUCUGCUCGGAAAACUCAGUCGAACCUUAUCAUUUAGAGGAAGGAGAAGUCGUAACA
RNAcentral lists this ribosomal RNA (322 nucleotides) under uncultured eukaryote. RNAcentral's name for it is "partial 18S ribosomal RNA". It matches the Rfam family "Eukaryotic small subunit ribosomal RNA", at positions 1470 to 1796 of the family's 1831-position model. The record is from RNAcentral.